UGAUAGAAUUAUGACUCCUUAUGAAGGACUACACUAUUGUAACAAAAUGGGAAUAAUCUGAGGGGGAGUGGGAGUUUAAAGGAGAAUCCCAG
Ochotona curzoniae (black-lipped pika) is the source of this 92-nucleotide long non-coding RNA. RefSeq lists it as uncharacterized. The transcript has 3 exons. NCBI's taxonomy places the organism in Eukaryota, Metazoa, Chordata, Mammalia, Lagomorpha, Ochotonidae. The record is from RefSeq and is a predicted model, not a curated record.